AGCAGCCACCUUUUAAAACGCGUCAAAGCGUAACCUUAAUUCCCAAAUACCAUUAAUCUUCAUGAACCCCUAAUUUAUAAUGAAUGACUCCAUAUUUAUAUGGAAGACACCAUGCUAGGAUUAGUAACAAGAAUUUAUAAUUCUCCAAAAUGCAAACAUAAACCAACAUGGAUAGACCAUUGGUAGUUACCGAACCUAAAUUCACUGCAAUAACACCCACAAGAAAACUCUGCAGUACUUACUCGUUAACCUAACACUAGCGCAUUACAGGAAAGAUUUAAAAAAAGAGAAGGAAUUCGGCAAAUGACGGCCCCGCCUGUUUACCAAAAACAUCGCCUCUUGACUUAUAAUAAGAGGUCCAGCCUGCCCAGUGAAUUUUUAACGGCCGCGGUAUCCUAACCGCGCGAAGGUAGCAUAAUCACUUGUUCUUUAAAUGGGGACUCGUAUCAACGGCAUCACGAGGGUUUUACUGUCUCCUCUUUUUGAUCAGUGAAAUUGAUCUUCCCGUGAAGAAGCGGGAAUAAUACUAUAAGACGAGAAGACCCCAUGGAGCUUAAAACCAAAUAACAACUUAACCACUCACCCCCCUAUAAAUUUAAGCCCUGUUAUAAGGUUUUCGGUUGGGGUGACCGCGGAGUAAAGCUCAUCCUCCACGACGGAAAGAACACACUCUUUAUUUAAGAACCACAAUUCUAGAAAUUAGUAUACUAACGUUUACUGACCCGAUAAUCGAUCAACGGACCAAGUUACCCUGGGGAUAACAGCGCAAUCUACUUCAAGAGCUCAUAUCGACAAGUAGGCUUACGACCUCGAUGUUGGAUCAGGGUAUCCCGGUGGUGCAGCCGCUACCGAAGGUUCGUUUGUUCAACGAUUAAAACCCUACGUGAUC
Molecule: ribosomal RNA, 889 nt
Filed under: Polypedates leucomystax (Java whipping frog)
Lineage: Eukaryota; Metazoa; Chordata; Amphibia; Anura; Rhacophoridae
Description: partial 16S ribosomal RNA
Rfam family: Bacterial large subunit ribosomal RNA
Source: RNAcentral